AGCGAACGCUGGCGGCAGGCCUAACACAUGCAAGUCGAACGAACCUUUCGGGGUUAGUGGCGGACGGGUGAGUAACACGUGGGAACGUGCCUUUAGGUUCGGAAUAACUCAGGGAAACUUGUGCUAAUACCGAAUGUGCCCUUCGGGGGAAAGAUUUAUCGCCUUUAGAGCGGCUCGCGUCUGAUUAGCUGGUUGGUUGGGGUAUUGGCUCACCAAGGCGACGAUCAGUAGCUGGUAUGAGAGGAGGAUCAGCCACAUUGGGACUGGGACACGGCCCAAACUCGUAGGGGAGGCAGCAGGGGGGAAUCUUGCGCAAGGGGCGAAAGCCUGACGCAGCCAUGCCGGGUGAAUGAUGAAGGGCUUAGGAUUGUAAAAUUCUUUCGCCGGGGAGGAUAAGGAGGGUACCGGGAGAAGAAGCCCGGGCUAACUUCGU
Molecule: ribosomal RNA, 433 nt
Filed under: uncultured bacterium
Lineage: Bacteria
Description: partial 16S ribosomal RNA
Rfam family: Bacterial small subunit ribosomal RNA
Source: RNAcentral